GAUGAACGCUAGCUACAGGCUUAACACAUGCAAGUCGAGGGGUAACGUGUCGUUUGCUUGCAAUCGACGACGACGACCGGCGCACGGGUGAGUAACGCGUAUCCAACCUGCCCAUCAGUGGUGCAUAGCCCGUCGAAAGUCGGAUUAAUUCACCAUAAGUCUAUUAUCGGCAUCUGUUUUAGACGAAAGAUUUAUUGCUGAUGGAUGGGGAUGCGUAUGAUUAGUUGGUUGGUGGGGUAACGGCCCACCAAGACAUCGAUCAUUAGGGGUUCUGAGAGGAAGGUCCCCCACACUGGUACUGAGACACGGACCAGACUCC
Molecule: ribosomal RNA, 319 nt
Filed under: uncultured Prevotella sp.
Lineage: Bacteria; Pseudomonadati; Bacteroidota; Bacteroidia; Bacteroidales; Prevotellaceae
Description: bacterial SSU rRNA
Rfam family: Bacterial small subunit ribosomal RNA
Source: RNAcentral